ACUCCUACGGGAGGCAGCAGUGGGGAAUAUUGCACAAUGGGCGCAAGCCUGAUGCAGCCAUGCCGCGUGUAUGAAGAAGGCCUUCGGGUUGUAAAGUACUUUCAGCGGGGAGGAAGGCGAUAAGGUUAAUAACCUUGUUGAUUGACGUUACCCGCAGAAGAAGCACCGGCUAACUCCGUGCCAGCAGCCGCGGUAAUACGGAGGGUGCAAGCGUUAAUCGGAAUUACUGGGCGUAAAGCGCACGCAGGCGGUCUGUCAAGUCGGAUGUGAAAUCCCCGGGCUCAACCUGGGAACUGCAUUCGAAACUGGCAGGCUAGAGUCUUGUAGAGGGGGGUAGAAUUCCAGGUGUAGCGGUGAAAUGCGUAGAGAUCUGGAGGAAUACCGGUGGCGAAGGCGGCCCCCUGGACAAAGACUGACGCUCAGGUGCGAAAGCGUGGGGAGCAAACAGGAUUAGAAACCCUGGUAGUCCCAUG
This 473-nucleotide ribosomal RNA is filed under the name uncultured organism. Its description in RNAcentral is "partial 16S ribosomal RNA". It matches the Rfam family "Bacterial small subunit ribosomal RNA", at positions 335 to 799 of the family's 1533-position model. The record is from RNAcentral.